AAGGUAUUGAAAUAAGGCUUUAAAUGAGUGCUAAGAGAAUGGUUGAACAAUUAUGGGCUUUCUUUAAUUAAUAAAUUGAAUUUAAUGUUUUUGUGAAGAAGCAAAAAUGAUAAUUAGGGACAAGAAGACCCUAUGAAUUUUUAAACUGAAAUUAUUAUUUGUAUGAUUUUUCAGUUUUAAUUGGGGCGAUGAGAAAAGAAUAUUUAUCUUUUUUUUAAUAAGUUAAUUUGAUCCAUUAAUAAUGAUUAAAUGAUUUAAAAUACUCUAGGGAUAACAGCGUAAUAA
Molecule: ribosomal RNA, 285 nt
Filed under: Ixodes ovatus
Lineage: Eukaryota; Metazoa; Arthropoda; Arachnida; Ixodida; Ixodidae
Description: partial 16S ribosomal RNA
Source: RNAcentral